GGCGGCCACCUUCAACCCCGGAUUCAGUUUCCGGGCACAGAAAUGGUGCCCGGAGGCCGCUACUUUCGCAUCUGCGUUGCUUCUGCCUCCGCCGACACGGCCUCCUUCCCCUCCCCCACGGGCGGGGCGACGACCGGGAACUAGGGCCGCCGGCGAGCGGAGGAACCAGGCGGGUGGGCUUCCUACCCUGAAACCGCCUCUGCAGGAGCCCACUGCCCCGCUUCGCGGCUUGGCGCCCGUUGGCGCGCUCUGGGAGCUGGCGGCGGACAGGGUACCCCCGGGCUGCUUCAUCCUAGCAAUCCCCAGCCCCACCUGUGCCCUCCUCUGCACCACGCGCGCAGGUCAUCCUCCUCCCCACGCAGCCUUCCGCUCACCUUGCAGGAAAGGCUCGGCUCUGCACGCACGCACGCACUCUUGCUGGCGUAGGCAGCCGGCGAGAACAAUGUUUCCGCCGCACCAACCCCGACACCAAGCGCACACACCGGACGGUUGCCGCGAGCCGCGGAGCGGAGGGAAAUGUCCCCUGCCGACCACCACACCGACCGCCCCUCUCGGCCCCCGUACACACCUCCAACCAACAGCGGCGGCGGGCACGUCGCGCGGAGGUCAGUAGUGUCGCGGGAUCGGCCGCAGCAGAUUCUCCUCCCUCGAAGCAACCCGAGGCUUCGGAAUCCGGAGAGCCGCGAGCUCGGGGCCCCUCACAGCCACCUCUUCCCGAGAGCCUAGAGCUGCAACGAGCUCCAAGAACACGGACGUCCCGCCCCCUUUGCCGCCGCCCCCUCUUAUUGUUUUACCCCUGCGGAAAGGGCUAGGGAACCCCCCAGCACAGCGCCAGCCAAUCAGGCAUCAGUUUGGAGAGCUAGACCCAACCUUCUCGCGUCCCACUGCGGAGCACGCGCAGAACGGCGCCGCGCUCGCUCGCUCGCUCGCUCGGGCGUCCGGAAAGCCAGGGAACCGGAACCGGCCUAAAGUCGGGGCGAGAGCCCGCUGAUUUGACGUCACAAGGAAGCUGCCUUUCUCUUGCAGUGAUGCUGAAGCCUCCCUGUCCUCUCAGGUGGCGCGAACAAAAAAGAUGGCUCGCCGCUAACCAGUGGCUUUUACAAACGGUUAUUCCUGGAGCCUUUAUUCGUGAUAAGAGGGAGCAAAUUUAGUAAUGGUCCUGGUUGCUGCGUUAUCGGAGCAUUAAAAUGCAGUUUUGAACUCUG
This 1205-nucleotide long non-coding RNA is filed under the name Mus musculus (house mouse). RNAcentral describes it as "long non-coding RNA chr5:92082960-92084165". The record is from RNAcentral. Lineage: Eukaryota; Metazoa; Chordata; Mammalia; Rodentia; Muridae.